Molecule: ribosomal RNA, 446 nt
Filed under: uncultured bacterium
Lineage: Bacteria
Description: partial 16S ribosomal RNA
Rfam family: Bacterial small subunit ribosomal RNA
Source: RNAcentral
CCUACGGGAGGCUGCAGUCGAGAAUCAUUCACAAUGGGGGAAACCCUGGUGGUGCGACGCCGCGUGGGGGAAUGAAGGUCUUCGGAUUGUAAACCCCUGUCAUGUGGGAGCAAAUUAAAAAGAUAGUACCACAAGAGGAAGAGACGGCUAACUCUGUGCCAGCAGCCGCGGUAAUACAGAGGUCUCAAGCGUUGUUCGGAAUCACUGGGCGUAAAGCGUGCGUAGGCUGUUUCGUAAGUCGUGUGUGAAAGGCGCGGGCUCAACCCGCGGACGGCACAUGAUACUGCGAGACUAGAGUAAUGGAGGGGGAACCGGAAUUCUCGGUGUAGCAGUGAAAUGCGUAGAUAUCGAGAGGAACACUCGUGGCGAAGGCGGGUUCCUGGACAUUAACUGACGCUGAGGCACGAAGGCCAGGGGAGCGAAAGGGAUUAGAUACCCGAGUAGUC